Molecule: unclassified non-coding RNA, 342 nt
Filed under: soil metagenome
Description: partial contains 5.8S ribosomal RNA, internal transcribed spacer 2, and large subunit ribosomal RNA
Rfam family: 5.8S ribosomal RNA (bases 1-120)
Source: RNAcentral
GAUGAAGAACGUAGCGAAAUGCGAUAAGUAAUGUGAAUUGCAGAAUUCAGUGAAUCAUCGAAUCUUUGAACGCACAUUGCGCCCUUUGGUAUUCCAAAGGGCAUGCCUGUUCGAGCGUCAUUUGUACCCUCAAGCUUUGCUUGGUGUUGGGCGUCUUGUCUCUAGCUUUGCUGGAGACUCGCCUUAAAGUAAUUGGCAGCCGGCCUACUGGUUUCGGAGCGCAGCACAAGUCGCACUCUCUAUCAGCAAAGGUCUAGCAUCCAUUAAGCCUUUUUUUUCAACUUUUGACCUCGGAUCAGGUAGGGAUACCCGCUGAACUUAAGCAUAUCAAUAAGCGGAGGA